This 612-nucleotide ribosomal RNA is filed under the name Vibrio sp. a101. Its description in RNAcentral is "bacterial SSU rRNA". It matches the Rfam family "Bacterial small subunit ribosomal RNA", at positions 309 to 914 of the family's 1533-position model. Lineage: Bacteria; Pseudomonadati; Pseudomonadota; Gammaproteobacteria; Vibrionales; Vibrionaceae. The record is from RNAcentral.
CACACUGGACUGAGACACGGUCCAGACUCCUACGGGAGGCAGCAGUGGGGAAUAUUGCACAAUGGGCGCAAGCCUGAUGCAGCCAUGCCGCGUGUGUGAAGAAGGCCUUCGGGUUGUAAAGCACUUUCAGUCGUGAGGAAGGUAGUGUAGUUAAUAGCUGCAUUAUUUGACGUUAGCGACAGAAGAAGCACCGGCUAACUCCGUGCCAGCAGCCGCGGUAAUACGGAGGGUGCGAGCGUUAAUCGGAAUUACUGGGCGUAAAGCGCAUGCAGGUGGUUUGUUAAGUCAGAUGUGAAAGCCCGGGGCUCAACCUCGGAAUUGCAUUUGAAACUGGCAGACUAGAGUACUGUAGAGGGGGGUAGAAUUUCAGGUGUAGCGGUGAAAUGCGUAGAGAUCUGAAGGAAUACCGGUGGCGAAGGCGGCCCCCUGGACAGAUACUGACACUCAGAUGCGAAAGCGUGGGGAGCAAACAGGAUUAGAUACCCUGGUAGUCCACGCCGUAAACGAUGUCUACUUGGAGGUUGUGGCCUUGAGCCGUGGCUUUCGGAGCUAACGCGUUAAGUAGACCGCCUGGGGAGUACGGUCGCAAGAUUAAAACUCAAAUGAAUUGAC